RNAcentral lists this ribosomal RNA (489 nucleotides) under uncultured bacterium. RNAcentral describes it as "partial 16S ribosomal RNA". It matches the Rfam family "Bacterial small subunit ribosomal RNA", at positions 30 to 506 of the family's 1533-position model. The record is from RNAcentral.
AUUGAACGCUGGCGGCAGGCCUAACACAUGCCAGUCGAACGGUAACAGGAAGAAGCUUGCUUCUUUGCUGACGAGUGGCGGACGGGUGAGUAAUGUCUGGGAAACUGCCUGAUGGAGGGGGAUAACUACUGGAAACGGUAGCUAAUACCGCAUAACGUCGCAAGACCAAAGAGGGGGACCUUCGGGCCUCUUGCCAUCGGAUGUGCCCAGAUGGGAUUAGCUAGUAGGUGGGGUAACGGCUCACCUAGGCGACGAUCCCUAGCUGGUCUGAGAGGAUGACCAGCCACACUGGAACUGAGACACGGUCCAGACUCCUACGGGAGGCAGCAGUGGGGAAUAUUGCACAAUGGGCGCAAGCCUGAUGCGGCCAUGCCGCGUGUAUGAAGAAGGCCUUCGGGUUGUAAAGUACUUUCAGCGGGGAGGAAGGGAGUAAAGUUAAUACCUUUACUCAUUGACGUUACCCGCAGAAGAAGCACCGGCUAACUCCGU